RNAcentral lists this long non-coding RNA (680 nucleotides) under Trifolium pratense (red clover). RNAcentral describes it as "long non-coding RNA (TPRA_LNC009682)". Lineage: Eukaryota; Viridiplantae; Streptophyta; Magnoliopsida; Fabales; Fabaceae. The record is from RNAcentral.
UUCUUGCUCUCGUGCUGGAUGUCAUCUCGGCAUAUCGGUCGGUUUAAGAUGAAUCCGGGGGAGGGAUGGAUAAAUCCUCCAUUGGCCGUUGACCUUUGAUUCUCUUAUCUGAACAGCUCUUAGGCUAAGAUUGAGUUGAAUCCGCUUCUCUUCCGUAUUCCUCAGCUCGACUUUCUGUUGCCGAAGCUGUCUUGAGGCCCUUUCUUUCCGGCUUCCUUGAGUCAGCUCGGUAGCUAGUCUAGUAAAAUAAAUAGCCUCUUCCCUUAACCUUAAUAGGGCUUGCUCCUUCUUCUCGUCCACUCGGGAAUGAAGCCUUACCUUUCGCUACUAACCUGUUAAAUGGAGUUGAGCUGGCUACAAAAAAAAUUGCUUCAGUGAUGGUUGCUUCAUCAAAUCAAAUAUAGGUGGCAGGGUCAGACUUUGAGAAAGAGUCCACAGCUGUCCAGUCAUAGUCAGUAGGAGCAGCUCCGGCUCAGCUCGAUAAAAUUUCCUUAACUCCGGCCUUGUAGUACCUCGCUAUCCUCUGUUGGUAAGUAGCCAUUCUGAACUGAGCUUGCUUUCUUAACUCUUAAAUUAGGUCGAAGUUGGUCCUCAACUCUUCUUCGUUGGAACCCACAUUUAGAAAAGUUCUGUUAGGUUCUUAGUAGCAGUCGGCGACCCUUUCUUCCUUAUUUUACUUC